AUUGAACGCUGGCGGCAUGCCUUACACAUGCAAGUCGAACGGCAGCACGGGAGCUUGCUCCUGGUGGCGAGUGGCGAACGGGUGAGUAAUACAUCGGAACGUACCCAGUAGUGGGGGAUAACGCACCGAAAGGUGCGCUAAUACCGCAUACGACCUAAGGGUGAAAGCGGGGGCCCGCAAGGCCUCGCGCUAUUGGAGCGGCCGAUGUCUGAUUAGCUAGUUGGCGGGGUAAAGGCCCACCAAGGCGACGAUCAGUAGCUGGUCUGAGAGGACGAUCAGCCACACUGGGACUGAGACACGGCCCAGACUCCUACGGGAGGCAGCAGUGGGGAAUUUUGGACAAUGGGGGCAACCCUGAUCCAGCAAUGCCGCGUGUGCGAAGAAGGCCUUCGGGUUGUAAAGCACUUUUGUCAGGGAAGAAAUCUUUCAGGCUAAUACCCUUGGAAGGAUGACGGUACCUGAAGAAUAAGCACCGGCUAACUACGUGCCAGCAGCCGCAGUAA
RNAcentral lists this ribosomal RNA (503 nucleotides) under uncultured bacterium. RNAcentral describes it as "partial 16S ribosomal RNA". It matches the Rfam family "Bacterial small subunit ribosomal RNA", at positions 30 to 523 of the family's 1533-position model. The record is from RNAcentral.